CAUCCUUCCAAGGUCAGCAAAUUGAGUACCACCUUGCUGUUAUCCUGUAUCAGAAUAGCGACCCAUCCAGGAUUGUGCCCACUAGCCCAGGAGACUGCUUAGGCAGCACCAACGCUCUGCACAGAGUAUUAUCUCAAUGGAUGGAUGGAUUCAGAAUGUGACAAGAGAUAGCUUCAACCUCGGGCCAGAGACGUUAGUCCAAGUGUCAUGCCACAGAAGACAACUGCAUUAUGUUCUAUGAAGGGAGCGGCUUUGACUCGAUUCCGAACCUCCGGGUUGCGCUUCCUUUGACCAUAUCUGAGUGAACCCAAGCCCAUCAUGUGUUGGGGAAAUAACAAGUUGCACGUCAGAGCAACUCAAUCACGACUUAUUGAGCAAAGAGAAGGCCUCACCCAUCCACCCUACCCUCAUCCUCUCCAACCUUUCCCUUAUGUUGUUGGAGUAAUUUUGAGUGAUAAGGCUUGGUUAUAAGAUUAAUUAUAACGUUUAAGAUUAAUAAUUAAUUCCUCUCCUUAUGCCCUGGUUUGGAAAGCAAUGGCAAACUACCCAGUAUAAUCCUUGCCAAUGAACUGCUUCAGCAGCAUCAAUGCCCUGCAAGAGUAUGGUACAUCAGAAUGAGAAUCAAAAAUUAUCCCCUGGGCCAUUUUUGUUGCAAUGCAUCUGUGGAUUUCACCACCAAUGUUUGUCUUUUUGUUGUUGGUAUGUAAAUAAUUGAAGCAAAGUAUAAAUUGUUCCUGCAGGUGAUGUUGUACUGAAUAACACUCCAAACUCUGACAUGGAAAAACCAGGGACGUUUGCCAAGUACUCCACUGUCACAUUAGAAAACGAUUCAGAUCUUCAAGCUGUGGUUGACGUGUUACGAGACCUUCCCCAGGAUGUUAUUCGACCCAUUCUUCGAAACCUGGAUGUUCAGGAUACGGACAUAGAUAACUUGAAUACCUCUGGUUACAAUGAAAAGAUUUAUGCAUACUUCAACUGUUGGAGGCAGAAAGUGGGCAAGGAUUGCUCUUUGGUACCAAUUCUAGAAAAACUCGAGUUCCGCAGUCAAAAGCUUACCAUGGAUAAGGUUAUGGGGGAGGGGGGGGGGGGGGGGGGGGGGGGGGGGGGGGGGGGGGGGGGGGGGGGGGGGGGGGGGGGGGGGGGGGGGGGGGGGGGGGGGGGGGGGGGGGGGGGGGGGGGGGGGGGGGGGGGGGGGGGGGGGGGGGGGGGGGUAAGAGCCCCAGACCCACAAACGCUUGACAAAGAAGAAAGCAACGAUGUAAGAGCCCCAGACCCACAAACGCUUGACAAAGAAGAAAGCAAUGAUGCUGCACCUCUGCAGAGAGAUGAACAUUAA
RNAcentral lists this long non-coding RNA (1336 nucleotides) under Eptatretus burgeri (inshore hagfish). RNAcentral's name for it is "lncRNA (ENSEBUG00000017239.1)". The record is from RNAcentral. Lineage: Eukaryota; Metazoa; Chordata; Myxini; Myxiniformes; Myxinidae.